Molecule: ribosomal RNA, 413 nt
Filed under: Achromobacter xylosoxidans
Lineage: Bacteria; Pseudomonadati; Pseudomonadota; Betaproteobacteria; Burkholderiales; Alcaligenaceae
Description: bacterial LSU rRNA
Rfam family: Bacterial large subunit ribosomal RNA
Source: RNAcentral
GCUCAUCUCAUCCUGGGGCUGUAGCCGGUCCCAAGGGUAUGGCUGUUCGCCAUUUAAAGAGGUACGUGAGCUGGGUUUAAAACGUCGUGAGACAGUUUGGUCCCUAUCUGCCGUGGGCGUUGGAUACUUGACGGAGCCUGCUCCUAGUACGAGAGGACCGGAGUGGACGUACCUCUGGUGUACCGGUUGUCAUGCCAAUGGCAUUGCCGGGUAGCUAAGUACGGAAGAGAUAACCGCUGAAGGCAUCUAAGCGGGAAACUCGUCUGAAGAUUAGGUAUCCCGGGGACUUGAUCCCCCUAAAGAGUCGUUCGAGACCAGGACGUUGAUAGGUCGGGUGUGGAAGCGCAGUAAUGCGUUAAGCUAACCGAUACUAAUUGCUCGUGAGGCUUGAUCCUAUAACACUGAUGGUUAUG